GUUAUAUUCUAGUCCUUGUGGUGGAGUACCAUGUAUUGCAACCCAGCUUGAGAUGCCUUCACCAUUUGCCCAUUUGUGGAACUUUGAUGUUUUGGGUUUGGCCAUAUUUUAAUUUUUCUGGUGGGAUCUUGGCUCUAGAGAUCUCCUUGUCGGACUAUGUUUUUCUGUUGAUCAAUAUGUGCGCUGUUAGACCAUAUUCAAGAGUUGGAUUGACUUGACUUAGCUGUUUUCAAGUUAUUUAUUUUUUUCUUUUUCAUAUGCAAGCUUCUCCAAAGUUUUGGUCGUCUAAACUAAUUCUCGAUGCAGGGGAAUUCAUUACACUGACCAACUCAUAGC
RNAcentral lists this unclassified non-coding RNA (336 nucleotides) under Hevea brasiliensis (rubber tree). Lineage: Eukaryota; Viridiplantae; Streptophyta; Magnoliopsida; Malpighiales; Euphorbiaceae. The record is from RNAcentral.